UUUCUCUCAUCUUCGUACCUACUAUUUCAGUUGAUGUCCAUCACAUUUAAGAGCAAAUGAGGUCCUCACCAGCGCACAGAAGAAGCCUCACAAGCUAAGAACUAACCACGUGUAAUUUUUUUAUAAACAGCAUCUUCAUAGGUGAAGAGGAAUAAUAGAGACCACAGUGCUCACCACGAUAUCAGCUUCAACGUGCUACAAGGAAGGAAGGAAGGAAGGAAGGAAGGAGGAUGACCCGGAUGCCAAAAUCAACUGGGCUUUAGAGCAUCGCAUCCCUCAUCGUUGCAGGCAGAAAGAGAAGAUUGGGUUGAAAACAAGUGGAACAUUGUGUGUGUUCUGAUGGGGCUUUAGCUUCAGAGCACAAAUACUCUGGAUAUAGAGGUUCUGGGCGGUUGGUUGGGCUGAUUGGGGAAAACGGUGGAGCUGCAGACGCCAAAAAUCAGGAUUAUGGUUUGUGCUGCUGCUGCUGCUUUGUUUGAAUUGGGUUGUUUCAGGAGAAUUGUCAAGAACUGAAAAAAGACUUUAAAUCUCCUGAAACGGAAGCUCAGCAAACGCACCCUGUACAUAAAUAGGCUUCAAAGAUCUUUCUAUUUUAUUGCAUCCAGAGCACCAAAAUUACAGCCAACCACACUGCAACUGCGAAGCAGUUUGGCCUUCGUCCUUUGCCAAAACCAAAGAGGUUUUGUCAAAAUGAUUCCCUUCUUGCCCCAGCAUCUCUAUACAACACCCAUUUCAUCGUUUAAACCAAGACCAUAGUUCCACAACUCACUUAAAUAGUAGACUAUCUACUUAUGGAGUCUUAUUAAUCGGAUUAUUCUUGGAGAGGCUUGAUCCAAAGGCUGGUUCCCAACCCAGAAAUCUCCCUAAAAUGAAGGUUAGCAAAGACACUACAAACUCGCAUCAAGUGCAUGCCAAGCAAGAUUAAAAACUGAACGACCAUCUUUAGAACAGUGUCAAUAGAAGAACAAUGAAGCCAUGCAGAUAUUUUUUGGCUUCCUACAUGGCAAUGCUUUGUGGUAAAAUCACAACAACCAUUUUUUGAUGAGACAAUGGUUUAUAUGAAGCAAUGGAAGACCAUUUUUGCACCCAA
Rosa rugosa (rugosa rose) is the source of this 1090-nucleotide long non-coding RNA. RefSeq lists it as uncharacterized. The transcript is spliced from 5 exons. The record is from RefSeq and is a predicted model, not a curated record. Lineage: Eukaryota; Viridiplantae; Streptophyta; Magnoliopsida; Rosales; Rosaceae.